RNAcentral lists this non-coding RNA (458 nucleotides) under Pongo abelii (Sumatran orangutan). The record is from RNAcentral. Lineage: Eukaryota; Metazoa; Chordata; Mammalia; Primates; Hominidae.
GUACUAUUGCGGCCGCCCUCUGCUGUGCCUGAAGACGGAAGCGACUCUACACGCCUCACAGUAUGCACUGUCACUAAAAAGACGAUGCGUCCUCCUGGAGCUGAGAUCUUUGUGAUCGUGGGACAGCGACGAAAAACGAACAAAAGAACAGUAAAUGGAAUAACUUGGCUAGAAUAUGGCAGUAACUACAAGGCAUGUUCUGCUCUGGCACGAAGAUGGAGUCUCGUUCUGUUGCCCAGGCUGGAGUGCAAUAGUACAAUCUUGGCUCACUGCAACCUCCGCCUCCCGGCUUCAAGCGAUUCUUCUGCCUCAGCCUCCUGAGUAGCUGGGAUUACAGACAACCAACCUGAGGCACCAGACACAUGAGUGAAGCCAUCUUGCACUUCCCAGUCACAGCCAAACUCACUCCUGAGUGCAUCUGCAUGAUGAACCCAGAAAUCCCCACCACGGAGCAAAGG